GGGAAGAACGUUAUUAGUAGGAAAUGGCUAAUAAGUGACGGUACCGUUACCAGAAAGGGACGGCGUAACUAACGUGCCAGCAGCCGCGGUAAUACGUAGGUCCCGAGCGUUAUCCGGAAUUAUUGGGCGUAAAGGGCACGUAGGCGGACAAAUAAGUUUGAUGUCAAAUAUGAUGGCUCAACCAUCAAGAGGCGUUGAAAACUGUUUAUCUAGAAUCUCGGAGAGGUAAGUGGAAUUCCAUGUGUAGCGGUGGAAUGCGUAGAUAUAUGGAGGAACACCAAUGGGCGAAGGCAGCUUACUGGACGAAGAUUGACGCUGAGGUGCGAAAGCGUGGGGUAGCAAACAGGAUUAGAUACCCUGGUAG
This 364-nucleotide ribosomal RNA is filed under the name uncultured bacterium. RNAcentral's name for it is "bacterial SSU rRNA". It matches the Rfam family "Bacterial small subunit ribosomal RNA", at positions 442 to 793 of the family's 1533-position model. The record is from RNAcentral.